Non-coding RNA from Arachis ipaensis, 1255 nucleotides. The record is from RefSeq and is a predicted model, not a curated record. NCBI's taxonomy places the organism in Eukaryota, Viridiplantae, Streptophyta, Magnoliopsida, Fabales, Fabaceae.
AAUUAAAACCUACAAACCCUAAUCAUAACUCUCUUUGCUACCCUUCAGCCGCCACCCCUCUCCCUCACCCGCGAAGCACUCACCCACGCCGAGAGAGAAGAGAAGAACGGAGGAGGGAUAAGCUGUCCGGCCGCCGUCGUCGUCCAUGGAGCUGUGAGGAGCUCCGUUGCUGUCGCGCGCCAGAGGAGAGGAAGAGAGAUCAGGAAGAGAGAGGACAGGGGGAGAAGGAAGCACGCGAUGGAGAAGGGGGCGCUACUUGCCCGCUACACCUCGUCGUCGUCGGUGUUGGGGCUGCUGCGGGGUGUGCCGUCGCCGUCGAACUUGGUGGCUAACAUAUAAUGCAUAAGCCAGGACCUGUUAGAGGAACGAUUUUUUCUUUCUACUGGACCUGUAGGUAUAUCCAUUGCUUAACUGAUAGAUGGUGAACUGAAGGGAUUUGGUCAAUUGCAUCCAUGAUUCCAAGGAGUGGAGACUUUAGGAACAAGAUAUAGCUCAUCAAUUUUCCUUAACCGGGCUCCACCUGGACAGCUUCUACUAUUGAAUUUCAUUGGAGGAGCUACCAAUCCUGGAAUGUUAUCAAAGAUGGAUAGUGAACUCAUUCAAGUAGCUGAUCGAGAUUUGCGAAAAAUCCUUAUAAACCCAAAUGCCAAUAAUCCAACUGUAUUAGGUGUGAAACUGUGGCCUAAAGCUGUUCCACAGUUCUUAAUUGGCCAUGUUGAGCUACUAAAUGUUGCUAAAGCCGCUCUCAAAGACACCGGCUUUGCGGGGAUGUUCCUUGGGGAAAACUACGUGUCUGGUGUGGCCUUGGGAGCAUGUGUUGAAGGAGCCUACGAGUUAGCUGCCAAAGUAAAUGAUGUAGCCAGCAACGGAUCCACACUUUGUCGACGAAGAGAGGAACGCGAUGGCCAGAGAGGAGAAGGAGUGUUUCGCGAGGAGAAGGAGGCGCUGCCCGCACCGCCGUUCAUACCUGUCAUUUCUCGAGCUCGCAGUCGCUGCGUCUUCAAUGUGCUGGCCAUUUUUAAUAACAUGGAAUGAAAUUAUGCCAAGUAGCAUGAUCCUACUUUUUUGGCACAUGAAUGUUUUAAGGAGGACAUAAUAUGAAGAAAAUAUUUUCCGUAGCAAUAUGAGAUGGGAUGGGUCUCAUAUAUAAAUAUUUUAGUUAUCUAAAUGUAAUAUUUUAAUGUGUUCUGUACUUUUUAUAAACAGAUUUUACUUGGUAUUAAAUGUAAUGGAUAAAUUACACUCUAUUUUUAUU